GGUUCCAUAGUGUAGUGGUUAGCAUGUCUGCUUUACACGCAGAAGGUCCUGGGUUCGCAUCCCUCUGGAGCCA
RNAcentral lists this transfer RNA (73 nucleotides) under Pteropus alecto (black flying fox). It matches the Rfam family "tRNA". From Rfam's summary of the family: Transfer RNA (tRNA) molecules are approximately 80 nucleotides in length. Lineage: Eukaryota; Metazoa; Chordata; Mammalia; Chiroptera; Pteropodidae. The record is from Rfam by way of RNAcentral.